UUUCCGUAGGUGAACCUGCGGAAGGAUCAUUGUCGAGACCGAAGCAUAUCAAGCGAUUCAGAGAACUCGUGAAGUGAGUGGUAGCGGCUGCCACCGUGGGACGACCGUCCCGGUCGUUGCCUUAUCCCCUCUUGGGAGUGGCGCGGGGGCACAGACGAGGACAAAUGAAACACAAACCGGCGCAGCUCCGCGCCAAGGGAAAAUCGAAAGGCACGGGCCCCAUGUCAGGCUCGGUGGCACAGAGCACCGUCGCGCUCCCUGCGGAUGGACACGGCCCUCAACAAUGGAUAUAUCGGCUCUU
This 301-nucleotide unclassified non-coding RNA is filed under the name root metagenome. RNAcentral's name for it is "partial contains small subunit ribosomal RNA and internal transcribed spacer 1". The record is from RNAcentral.